ACUUGUUCUGCAAAUGCUGAGGCUCAACUGUGCUUGAACUGACAUGAAGCGUGAAACGCGAGGUGUAUGUAUAUCGACCUGACCGUUUCAUUGUUGGAACCUGGCCGUCGUGCCGUCCACUGCUGUUCUCAUACUAUGAGUCAACAACUUGAUCAACCUAGCAUACAAUACCGUUGCCCCAUUGGCAUUUGGCAAGCUCAAGCACCUUGAACAAAUGGCAAGACCUUCACAGCUAUUCGCAUGGCACGUAAUAGUGGUGGCGGACUCUCAGAAUACCGUAGCUGGGUGUAAUUACCAAGCGCACGUAAUUAAUGAUAAACCCAAGGGAUAAAUCAGUUGCAAACCGCACGUACGUACGGACACGGUAUAUGAUUCCAUUGCACGGUCGGAGUCGGACACGGAGACCGAAUCCCGUACGUGUGGUGAUCGAUGGUGUCCGUCACCAAUUCGUAUCGACUGAGUAGAGUACUUCGCGCAGCUUUGCCUAUAUAUUCAUAACCUACCUACCUACCUAGCUGCAAAACAAGGCCAGACGUUCGCUGGAAGAUCAGAAAGCUAGCUUGUGUUUUCUCCAUCGUCCAGCCGAGAGGAGGCUAUGAAGAUCCGGCAUGUGCUCACCCGAUCCAUCACCUUCCUCGUUAUGGUCCUUGUGUUGUUGGUGUUGGUGCCCGAGGGAAUGAUGCUAGUGACGGGUGUCAAGUCACCGGCGAUGGCGGUUUUGUCGGAAAGUAUGGAGCCUGCAAUUAAAAAGGUACGUGAUACAAUUUAUUUAGUUUAAAUGUGUGCUUCAGUUUGUCGCCCCCUUUGAUUUCGACCGAUAUAUUGAUAGAUGCAUGCAUGGGAUAUGUGCUUAUUUUGCAGGGCGAUAUGGUGUUUGUGCACAACAUGAGCAAUGAACCUUUCCGCGAAGGAGAGGUCGUUCUUUUCAAAGUUGAUGGCUUUGAACAUCCAAUUGUCCAUCGUGUGAUCAAGGUUUACGAGCAUCGAGACACUCGAGAAAUCCGAAUACUCACCAAAGGAGACAACAAUUCAGUGGAUGACCGAUUUCUCUAUGCGAGCGGGCAGCUUUGGCUUCAACCGCAUGACAUUAUUGGACGGGU
This is a non-coding RNA of Aegilops tauschii subsp. strangulata, 1100 nucleotides long. The record is from RefSeq and is a predicted model, not a curated record. Lineage: Eukaryota; Viridiplantae; Streptophyta; Magnoliopsida; Poales; Poaceae.